Molecule: ribosomal RNA, 386 nt
Filed under: uncultured bacterium
Lineage: Bacteria
Description: bacterial SSU rRNA
Rfam family: Bacterial small subunit ribosomal RNA
Source: RNAcentral
AAUCAACGCUGGCGGCGUGCCUCAGACAUGCAAGUCGAACGAUUAAAGCUCUCUUCGGAGAGUGCAUAAAGUGGCGCACGGGUGAGUAACACGUAAGUAAUCUACCUUCGAGUGGGGAAUAACGUCCGGAAACGGACGCUAAUACCGCAUAAUGCAGCGGCAUCGCAAGAUGACAGUUGUUAAAGGAGCAAUUCGCUUGAAGAGGAGCUUGCGGCAGAUUAGCUAGUUGGUAAGGUAACGGCUUACCAAGGCUACGAUCUGUAACCGGUCUAAGAGGACGGUCGGUCACACUGACACUGAAUAACGGGUCAGACUCCUACGGGAGGCAGCAGUCGGGAAUUUUGGGCAAUGGGCGAAAGCCUGACCCAGCAACCGCCGCGUGAAGG